RNAcentral lists this long non-coding RNA (1280 nucleotides) under Cricetulus griseus (Chinese hamster). RNAcentral describes it as "lncRNA (ENSCGRG00015033873.1)". Lineage: Eukaryota; Metazoa; Chordata; Mammalia; Rodentia; Cricetidae. The record is from RNAcentral.
CUCAUGUCUAGUGUUGGGGUUUUUGUUAGAUACUCUAUGCCUCUUGGGGGAGCAUUGUUAAAUUUCAUUUAAACUAUACAUGCAUACAGAGGUUUUCAUGCAUUAUAGGUAUUUUAGAUGGAUAGUCAUCAGUAUGUGAUUCUUUAUGAAUUUUUCAGAUACUCAUUGUUAUUUAACCCCCUCCUCUUUCUGUACUUAUUACCCUCCCACUCUCUAUUUAAAGUACCCUGUUUUCCCCAUUUCUCCCUUCAGAUAACUGCUAUACCCCACUCUAUUGCUCCCUACCCAUGCAGCCAGCCAAUAGUCGGUUUCUAGUUUCCUGCUAUCUAUAGUCAUUUCAGGGUAUGUACUCACAUCUGAAAAUUUAGAGCUAUGAGCCUCUGGUAAGAGAGAACAUGUAACAUUUGUCUUUCUGGGUUACUUCACUCAAGAUGAUCUUUUCUAGUUCCAUCAUGUAGCUGCAAUUUUUAUGAUUUCCCUUUUCUUUACAGUUGAACUGUAUUUCACAGUAUAUAUUUGUAGCACAAUAAAUAAAAGACCCAGAGACUGAUAUUGGGGUUCAAGCUUCAAGCUGAAGAUCAGAGAAGCAAAGCAGCCAAGCCACUAGCUCUUACCUCUACCAAUGCUCAGACCAAAGGGGUCAUCUUCAGACUGCUCCUGACUUCACUGCUCCUCAGAUUCACUCAGUACUCCUGUAUUUAUUCAAAAUCAUCUCCUGAAGAGAGGAUUUAUUGGAAGCCACAGAACAACAAGUAUUGCGAGACUCUUCUUAUAUGAGGAGAAACUGCGGCCAGCCUACCCAAGCCGCAAUUGCCCUGCCCCCAGUGCCCAGGCCAGCCCGCAUGCGCAUUGAGCAUGUGCAGUGGGCACUGCCUCCCUGAGCCAAGCCACCAAACCUGCCUAGAGGCUCAGAGACUACUGAUGGAGAGACACCUAACCCAGAGACACCAAUGAGGAAAGGACAACUCAACAGAGUCAGCAGCCUGAGCCAAUAGGACCUUGGGAGGGGGUAUAAAGACCUUCAUCUUUGCCUUUUGUUGCUGGUGGUGCAUUGUCGGAUCCUACGCUGGUGAACUUUCACUUUAUCUAUCUUCAUCCUUCGGACUCCUCUUCACUCAACAUAGUGUGUUUCGGCACCCCUUCUUCAUGACUUGUUCGGCCAGCACCCAGGAGCAUGCGCAUGUGCAGCAGGCACUUCCUCCCUGAGCCAAGCCACCAAGCCUGUCUGGACGCCCAGAGACUGCUGAUGGAGAGACACCUGACCCAGAGACACCAAUGAG